This is a long non-coding RNA of Micropterus dolomieu (smallmouth bass), 297 nucleotides long. RefSeq lists it as uncharacterized. The record is from RefSeq and is a predicted model, not a curated record. The transcript has 2 exons. NCBI's taxonomy places the organism in Eukaryota, Metazoa, Chordata, Actinopteri, Centrarchiformes, Centrarchidae.
GCCACUCCCCAUGCCCGUUGAAAUAUAUUAUAGUCAGAUAUUUACAGCAGUAAGAAAAAUUCCAAAUGUUUGAUAGGAAAUGAUGGAGAGAAAGAAAGUUAAGAUGAGGCGGCGAGAACCGUUAACAUUACUUGAUUAGGUUUAUCCCAGGCGGCCAUUUCAAAUUAUUAUGUAUGUGAUUCCAACCACACAGAGCACAGAAAGUGUUUACUCUCUUCAUUGAGGCGCUGGAUAAGUUGAGAGCAGAAGCUAAGUGUACUACAGUCUAUGGCAGAAGAAUAAACAUUUUCCUUUAUA